CAGCCGGCGGUAAUUCCAGCUCCCAAUAGCGUAUAUUAAAGUUGUUGUGGUUAAAAAGCUCGUAGUUGAACCUGGGCCUCGCGCAGACCGGUCCGCCUUCACCGCGUGCACUGGUCCUGCCGGGGCUUUCACUAGGGGAUUCGCAUGUCCUUCACUGGGCGUGUGCGGAACCUGGACUUUUACUGUGAAAAAAUUAGAGUGUUCAAAGCAGGCCUAUGCUCGAAUACAUUAGCAUGGAAUAAUAGAAUAGGACGUGUGGUUCUAUUUUGUUGGUUAUGGGACCGCCGUAAUGAUUAAUAGGGACAGUCGGGGGCAUCAGUAUUCAAUAGUCAGAGGUGAAAUUCUUGGAUUUAUUGAAGACUAACUACUGCGAAAGCAUUUGCCAAGGAUGUUUUCAUUAAUCAGGAACGAAAGUUAGGGGAUCGAAGACGAUCAGAUACCGUCGUAGUCUUAACCAUAAACUAUGCCGACUAGGGAUCGGGCGAUGUUACUUUUUGACUCGCUCGGCACCUUACGAGAAAUCAAAGUCUGUGGGUUCCUGGGGGAGUAUGGUGGCAACGCUGAAACUUAAAGAAAUUGACGGAAGGGCACCACCAGGAGUAAACCUUUGCUACAAUUAUAUUUUCGAAAUGCCGCAGUAGCUCUGCUCCAAAAAGCAGCCCGAAAGGGUGAGGUGGUUUCAGCCCGGGUCGCCUCGUGCGGUCCGAAUCUAAAUGCUAGUCCGCCUCGGCGGGCGACACGCUCAAAUUGCGGGGAACUCCUAAAGCUCCAGCCACCAAGCCGCCGUGCGAAAGCCGGUGGCGGCCAGGUUAAUUGCCUCGGGUACGGUAAUAGUGCUGGAGAUGCUACAAUGGAUGAUCCGCAGCCAAGCCCCUAAGGCGCCUUGCGCUACGGGGAAGGUUCAGAGACUAGACGGGUGUGGGUCCCGCGGCCGCGGCCGCGGGGCUUAAGGUAUAGUCCGGCCGACGUCGAAAGGCGUCGGGGCCAGC
RNAcentral lists this ribosomal RNA (989 nucleotides) under Paralulworthia gigaspora. RNAcentral describes it as "SSU rRNA". The stretch from base 1 to 653 matches the Rfam family "Eukaryotic small subunit ribosomal RNA", at positions 571 to 1831 of the family's 1831-position model. Lineage: Eukaryota; Fungi; Ascomycota; Sordariomycetes; Lulworthiales; Lulworthiaceae. The record is from RNAcentral.